GGGGGGGGGGGGGGGGGGGGGGGGGGGGGGGGGGGGGGGGGGGCGGGGGGGGAGCGGGGUGGGCUGGUGUUAGCGGCGGACGGGUGAGUAACACGUGGAUAACCUACCUAUAAGACUGGGAUACCUUCGGGAAACCGGCGCUAGUACCGGAUACUAUUUUGACCCGCAUGGUUCAAAAGUGAACGACGGUCUUGCUGUCCCUUCUAGAUGGAUCCGCGCUGCAUUAGCUAGUUGGUAAGGUAACGGCUUACCAAGGCAACGAUGCAUAGCCGACCUGAGAGGGUGAUCGGCCACACUGGAACUGAGACACGGUCCAGACUCCUACGGGAGGCAGCAGUAGGGAAUCUUCCGCAAUGGGCGAAAGCCUGACGGAGCAACGCCGCGUGAGUGAUGAAGGUCUUCGGAUCGUAAAACUCUGUUAUUAGGGAAGAACAUAUGUGUAAGUAACUGUGCACAUCUUGACGGUACCUAAUCAGAAAGCCACGGCUAACUACGUG
This 497-nucleotide ribosomal RNA is filed under the name uncultured bacterium. RNAcentral's name for it is "partial 16S ribosomal RNA". The stretch from base 54 to 497 matches the Rfam family "Bacterial small subunit ribosomal RNA", at positions 39 to 507 of the family's 1533-position model. The record is from RNAcentral.